GAUGAACGCUGGCGGUGUGCCUAAUACAUGCAAGUCGAGCGAACAGACGAGGAGCUUACUCCUCUGACGUUAGCGGCGGACGGGUGAGUAACACGUGGAUAACCUACCUAUAAGACUGGGAUAACUUCGGGAAACCGGAGCUAAUACCGGAUAACAUGUUGAACCGCAUGGUUCAACAGUGAAAGACGGUCUUGCUGUCACUUAUAGAUGGAUCCGCGUCGCAUUAGCUAGUUGGUAAGGUAACGGCUUACCAAGGCAACGAUGCGUAGCCGACCUGAGAGGGGGAUGGGCAACCCUGGAACUGGGACCCGGAACUGACUCCUGAGGGAGGCAGCAUUAGGGAGCCUCCCGAAAUGGGCGAAAGCCUGACGGAGCAACGGCGCGGGAGUGAAAAAGGUUUUCGGAUGGUAAACCCUUGUUUUGGGGGAAGAACAAAUGGGAAAGUACCUAGGAACGUUUGAAGGGUACCUAAUAAGAAAGCCACGGUAAACCAGGG
RNAcentral lists this ribosomal RNA (496 nucleotides) under uncultured bacterium. RNAcentral describes it as "partial 16S ribosomal RNA". It matches the Rfam family "Bacterial small subunit ribosomal RNA", at positions 28 to 506 of the family's 1533-position model. The record is from RNAcentral.